AGAACGAACGCUGGCGGCGUGUUUAAGACAUGCAAGUCGCACGGGAUUGAAUGAGUAGUAAUACGAGUUCAGUCUAGUGGCGCACGGGUGAGUAACAUGUGAAUUACAUGCCCUUCAGUGGGGAAUAGCCCAGGGAAACUUGGAUUAAUACCCCAUGGUAUCGCAAGAUUAAAGGUGGCCGCAAGGCUGUCGCUGAAGGAUUGGUUCGCACCCUAUCAGCUUGUUGGUGAGGUAAUGGCUCACCAAGGCUACGACGGGUACCUGGUCUGAGAGGACGAUCAGGCCCACUGGACUGAGACACGGUCCAGACCACCUACGGGUGGCAGCAGUGAGAAUAAGUCACAAGUGGGGGCAACCCGUGACUGGUGACGAACCGCCGCGUAGGGAGGAGUGGUACGGUCGUUCGGAUUUCGGUAAACUUCCGU
This 425-nucleotide ribosomal RNA is filed under the name uncultured soil bacterium. RNAcentral describes it as "bacterial SSU rRNA". It matches the Rfam family "Bacterial small subunit ribosomal RNA", at positions 26 to 436 of the family's 1533-position model. The record is from RNAcentral.